This 406-nucleotide ribosomal RNA is filed under the name uncultured bacterium. RNAcentral's name for it is "partial 16S ribosomal RNA". It matches the Rfam family "Bacterial small subunit ribosomal RNA", at positions 30 to 526 of the family's 1533-position model. The record is from RNAcentral.
AUUGAACGCUGGCGGCAGGCCUAACACAUGCAAGUCGAACGAGUGGCGGACGGGUGAGUAAUGUCUGGGAAACUGCCUGAUGGAGGGGGAUAACUACUGGAAACGGUAGCUAAUACCGCAUACCAUCAGAUGUGCCCAUAUGGGAUUAGCUUGUGGGUAGGGUAACGGCUAACCAAGGCGACGAUCCCUCGCUGGUCUGUGAGGAGGACCGGCCACACUGGAACGGAGACGCGGUCCAGACUACUGCGGGAGGCAUCAGUGUGGAAUAUUGCGCAAUGGGCGCAAGCCUGAUGCAGCCAUGCCGCGUGUAUUAAGAAGGCCUUCGGGUUGUAAAGUACUUUCAUCGGUGAGGCGUUACCCGCAGAAGAAGCACCGGCUAACUCCGUGCCAGCAGCCGCGGUAAUAC